This 590-nucleotide long non-coding RNA is filed under the name Bos taurus (domestic cattle). RNAcentral's name for it is "long non-coding RNA NONBTAT020492". The record is from RNAcentral. Lineage: Eukaryota; Metazoa; Chordata; Mammalia; Artiodactyla; Bovidae.
CAAGCCUCUACAGUUAAUUCCAAUUCUUAGUGCUUAAAGUGUGUCAUUUACUUACCUUGCCUUUUGCUUUACUGUGUAUUAAAAUGGGUAGUACUGUUGACUUAACUACCUCACAGAUGUGUUAAGGCAUAUUAAGUUAAAAAUUUUAUGAAAUAUUUCUAAGUUGCAUUAAAAGCUCAAAACUUUGGACCUGUUGUACCACAAGUAUAUGAUACUCAGCAUCUUAAUUAUACCAAGGCUAGAUACGAAUAGUUAACUGGUAAACCAAGUUUAAGAACCUUUAUUCUGGAUCCAGUCAGGCAACACUUGUAGAUCUUUGUGUGGCUCCUGUUGCAACAGAAGUAGGUAAUGAGCAGCUGUUUCAAGGGGUCCUAGCAUUUUUUCCAGCUACUUUAAUUUUUGACUAUAUUGUAGUUAAUACUAUAGAUGUCAUGGGACUAAAGUGGAAAUAAGACCAUUGUUAGAGGGGGAAAAUGCCAUUAAAUUAGGGACUGUAGAGCCACAUUUAAAAUACCUCAGGCUAAAUACUGUUAAUUUUGGGGAUGAAUAUUAAAGGUUUGACAGAGUGGACUAAUUGGGUUGUAAUUACA